RNAcentral lists this ribosomal RNA (236 nucleotides) under uncultured Bacteroides sp. RNAcentral describes it as "partial 16S ribosomal RNA". It matches the Rfam family "Bacterial small subunit ribosomal RNA", at positions 102 to 339 of the family's 1533-position model. Lineage: Bacteria; Pseudomonadati; Bacteroidota; Bacteroidia; Bacteroidales; Bacteroidaceae. The record is from RNAcentral.
ACGGGUGAGUAACACGUAUCCAACCUGCCGAUGACUCGGGGAUAGCCUUUCGAAAGAAAGAUUAAUACCCGAUGGCAUAGUUCUUCCGCAUGGUAGAACUAUUAAAGAAUUUCGGUCAUCGAUGGGGAUGCGUUCCAUUAGGUUGUUGGCGGGGUAACGGCCCACCAAGCCUUCGAUGGAUAGGGGUUCUGAGAGGAAGGUCCCCCACAUUGGAACUGAGACACGGUCCAAACUCC